CAGGUGGAAAGGGAUCGGUGGGGGCUCGAUCUCAUACAGGGAUGCCGGCGGCGCGGCGACGCAAGCGGUCCACGAUGGGAUCCAGUGUUCGCUGGUCUUCCCAGUGGAUCAAGCCGAGGCGCUCAAGGCGAUCCAGCAGCGCGCGGCCUUCUCAGUGGAUCCAGCCGAGGCGCGCCAGGGAAUCAUCCUAGGGUUUGGAGUUGGUGACCGAGGAGGAGGCGGCACCGGCGAUGGUGCGCAAGCCGUGCACGAGGCCACGACGACUCCACAAAGUCUGCUCCGCUCUCCCCGACCCUCGACGACGUGCUCUCCGAUCUCCACUCCCUCCUUCUCUCCACGCUCGCCGCGUCGCUGCCCACCCCAUCACCAUGGCGACGAUAAAUUGCCUCUCAUUCCUAUCCUGCGCGGAACAAGUUAGGCCUGGAAGGUCUGGAAGGGGGGAGAUAUGAGAUUAUAGCCUGCCUUGGUGGUCACGUUGAGGGAUCAAUCCUGUUCUUUCCUUAUUAGAAAAUAAUUUGGUGUAUUUCUGAUAAGAAUUUUGUACAUUAUGGUGCAAGUUUAUCUUCUUUUUACCUGGGACGGCUGCAUGAUUUUGUGACUGAUUGCUACAGAUGAUAUUUUCUUGUAGGUUCUAAAGACUCGAGGUCAUUGACCCUCAUCACGGCAUCUAACAUGGAGCGACCUGUUAAUGUCGUCGACACAUAUUUUCUAUUUGAUCAUGUAAGCUCCUGUAUCUCAGACUUUUUUCAUAUAUAUGCACAUAUGGCAAUAGCCAUCUUCUUAAGUUGUUUUAAGUAGUCCUACAUACAAUUGAACUCAGAACACAUGGUCAUGCCUCUGCUUAAGUUACUUGGAACUUUUACAUGCUAAGACCAUAUCCUCCUCAUGUGUAAUUUUCUUGAAAUGACAAGCCCUUAUGCUGGUGCAUUUUGCAAUGUGCCUUCUGAUUAAUGUGUCGAAGUUGGAUCGGGUACCAUUUAUGUGUACAUGAUUCAAUCUUCAGUGCCAAUUUCUUUUGUCUGGCCCAUAUCGUUCUCACUUUCAAGCCUUGAUUUAUUAUACCUUUAGCUUUGAUAAGGUAUUUUUACCAACGACAAGAGACUACCUAACUGUUCAUUGUGGGCAUUUUCCUUAUAAAUUAGAAGAGCAAAUGGUUACGUGGUGAGACAGAUUUGUGUGAUCACAUGCUUAGACCGUUCUGCAUGUGCUAGCUAUGGACCUAGAAGAUGAAGAUACUGAAAUUUUCCUCGCAAAUGCAGGCUCCUGGAAGAACUGAUUUAGAGUGCCAUAUCUACAGUUGAUGUCAUCAAUGAUUCAGUAGAUCCUUUAUAGAAAAUCCUCUAUCUGUUAUGCUCAUCUCUCACGAUGAAAUUUUGGCUCAGAUUUCCUGUCAGGUUUGCCAGGGAAAGCGGUGAAAAAAGACAAAUAAUAUCUUUCAAUAUGCACAUAUCCCCAGAAAGCAAUUUGGUAAUAUCGUAUUUGUUUAUUAGAAUAUGUUUGCACAACUCCAUAAAGUUCUGACCAAUAGUUAGAAGUGAUUAUGAACAUGUGUAGCUGACAAAACAACUACCCUUGAUGAUUAUUUUACCCCAUCAACCAGGUGAAUGCUAUAUGUACCUGAAGUAUCAGUUCGGGAUGUUUUCUCUCUCUUAUGGACACAAAUAUCUACUCCCUCUGUUCAUGGAUGUAUCUAGAACUAAAAUACAUCUAGAUACAUCCAUUUCUGUGACAACUAAUUCCGAACGGAGGGAGUAGCUUCUAAGAACUAAUAAAUAUGCACAUUAUGUUGUACAUAAAAAUGAUAAUGUUUUUACGAUUGAGCACAUGUAGAUAAAGGAAAUAGUUAUUCCAGAUAAACCGUUGGUCUUUCACAGUUAUAAUAUUUAUUACUAUAGAAGCAGAAUCCGAUUUUCUUAUCUAGCUGCAGCAGUGAGAUAAAUCUUUGUAUGCACUUGCAUAGUUUAGGUUUUCGUUGUAAUUAUACGUACUAUCUUGUGAUUGUGGUCUUCAUUUUUAUGACUUCUGCUCUUUGUGUCAAUAUACACUUUCCCAGAAUAAAUAUCAAUUCUUUAGUUUUCAUUUUUUAUCAGGUGAAGCAGCAACACAUCUAUGUUUUUAUCAUCUGGGAUGUUUGGAACUUUAUUAUCUUUGACUGAUUGCGUACCUUUGUUUUCAAACACUGGCUGGGUUCAAGAAUCCUACUUGGCUUAUUUAGAGAAGCAUAUGUAAGCUAUAUUUGAUAAAUGGUCUCAGCCUUAGGUUGCUAAUAUUGGAAAGGUGGACAUAUAAUCUGGUCAGUUCUUGACUCCGAGAGUUAGGCUGUUUGAGAAGAUUGUAAGCUUAUGGAAAUGUCUGCCUAUCGUCAAGAACCUCUGAGGCAACUGCAUAUUUUGUUCUGUACAAAUCGACAAGCUGCAGGAGUUAGCUGAGGGAAGCUGCAUCUAUUUCUCCCUAAAGAGAAAAACGCAUCUAUACUUUGCCAUGGUGCACCACACUAGCUUAUCCAAGGGCUCUAAGAUAGCGUAUGCCUCAGCUUUGCCUCAUAUGAAGUCCAUCACAACUGAACACGGUUCUGCUUGUUUCUGGAACUUACAACUACUAAAACUUAUCAUAUCCGCUCCAUUAUUUGGCAAACUAGGCUGAGAAAGCCAUGAUGUUUCCUUUGUGUAUUCUAAAUGGGCUGCUGUGUUGGAUGGGAAUAACACAACCUCCUUUUAUUUGCAUGCAAAAGAAACAAAGAGCUUGUAAAGACUUUACGAUUUGUAUUUAACCCAGGGCACACUAUGAGCAUAUGACCAUUUUAACAAUAAGUAGUUUCUAUUAAA
Molecule: long non-coding RNA, 2825 nt
Organism: Triticum aestivum (bread wheat)
Lineage: Eukaryota; Viridiplantae; Streptophyta; Magnoliopsida; Poales; Poaceae
Exons: 5
Source: RefSeq, a predicted model, not a curated record